This 253-nucleotide ribosomal RNA is filed under the name uncultured bacterium. RNAcentral's name for it is "partial 16S ribosomal RNA". It matches the Rfam family "Bacterial small subunit ribosomal RNA", at positions 524 to 776 of the family's 1533-position model. The record is from RNAcentral.
UACGGGGGGGGCAAGCGUUGUUCGGAAUUACUGGGCGUAAAGGGCGCGUAGGCGGUUGGAUAAGUCAGCUGUGAAAACCACGAGCUUAACUCGUGGCCUGCAGUUGAGACUGUCUGGCUUGAGUGUGGGAGAGGAGAGUGGAAUUCCUGGUGUAGCGGUGAAAUGCGUAGAUAUCGGGAGGAACACCUGUGGCGAAAGCGGCUCACUGGACCACAACUGACGCUGAGGCGCGAAAGCUAGGGGAGCAAACAGG